CAGUAGCCGCGGGAAUACGUAGGGUGCAAGCGUUAUCCGGAAUUAUUGGGCGUAAAGAGCUCGUAGGCGGUUUGUCGCGUCUGCUGUGAAAACUGGAGGCUCAACCUCCAGCCUGCAGUGGGUACGGGCAGACUAGAGUGCGGUAGGGGAGAUUGGAAUUCCUGGUGUAGCGGUGGAAUGCGCAGAUAUCAGGAGGAACACCGAUGGCGAAGGCAGAUCUCUGGGCCGUAACUGACGCUGAGGAGCGAAAGCGUGGGGAGCGAACAGGAUUAGAUACCCGCGUAGUCCCUGUCUCUUAUAU
RNAcentral lists this ribosomal RNA (301 nucleotides) under uncultured bacterium. RNAcentral describes it as "partial 16S ribosomal RNA". It matches the Rfam family "Bacterial small subunit ribosomal RNA", at positions 509 to 809 of the family's 1533-position model. The record is from RNAcentral.